RNAcentral lists this ribosomal RNA (467 nucleotides) under uncultured bacterium. RNAcentral's name for it is "partial 16S ribosomal RNA". It matches the Rfam family "Bacterial small subunit ribosomal RNA", at positions 28 to 507 of the family's 1533-position model. The record is from RNAcentral.
GACGAACGCUGGCGGCGUGCUUAACACAUGCAAGUCGACGGAAAGGCCCUGCUUUUGUGGGGUUCUCGAGUGGCGAACGGGUGAGUAACACGUGAGUUACCUGCCCUUGACUUUGGGAUAACUUCAGGAAACUGGGGCUAAUACCGGAUAGGAGCUCCUGCUGCAUGGUGGGGGUUGGAAAGUUUCGGCGGUUGGGGAUGGACUCGCGGCUUAUCAGCUUGUUGGUGGGGUAGUGGCUUACCAAGGCUUUGACGGGUAGCCGGCCUGAGAGGGUGACCGGCCACAUUGGGACUGAGAUACGGCCCAGACUCCUACGGGAGGCAGCAGUGGGGAAUAUUGCACAAUGGGCGGAAGCCUGAUGCAGCAACGCCGCGUGCGGGAUGACGGCCUUCGGGUUGUAAACCGCUUUCGCCUGUGACGAAGCGUGAGUGACGGUAAUGGGUAAAGAAGCACCGGCUAACUACGUG